AACGAACGCUGGCGGCAUGCCUAACACAUGCAAGUCGAACGAGACCUUCGGGUCUAGUGGCGCACGGGUGCGUAACGCGUGGGAACCUGCCCUUAGGUUCGGAAUAACUCCCCGAAAGGGGUGCUAAUACCGGAUAAUGUCUUCGGACCAAAGAUUUAUCGCCUUUGGAUGGGCCCGCGUUGGAUUAGCUAGUUGGUAGGGUAAAAGCCUACCAAGGCGACGAUCCAUAGCUGGUCUGAGAGGAUGAUCAGCCACACUGGGACUGAGACACGGCCCAGACUCCUAGGGGAGGGGGCAGUGGGGAAAAUUGGACAAUGGGCGAAAGCCUGAUCCAGCAAUGCCGGGUGAGUGAUGAAGGCCUUAGGGUUGUAAAGCUCUUUUACCCGGGAUGAUAAUGACGGUACCGGGAGAAUAACCCCCGGCAACCCCCGG
RNAcentral lists this ribosomal RNA (432 nucleotides) under uncultured bacterium. Its description in RNAcentral is "partial 16S ribosomal RNA". It matches the Rfam family "Bacterial small subunit ribosomal RNA", at positions 29 to 506 of the family's 1533-position model. The record is from RNAcentral.